Molecule: unclassified non-coding RNA, 24 nt
Filed under: Mus musculus (house mouse)
Lineage: Eukaryota; Metazoa; Chordata; Mammalia; Rodentia; Muridae
Description: oocyte_clustered_small_RNA1708
Source: RNAcentral
CAGUGACAGCAAUACCCAGAGUAU